RNAcentral lists this ribosomal RNA (384 nucleotides) under uncultured bacterium. RNAcentral's name for it is "bacterial SSU rRNA". It matches the Rfam family "Bacterial small subunit ribosomal RNA", at positions 29 to 412 of the family's 1533-position model. The record is from RNAcentral.
AUUAAACGCUGGCGGCAUGCCUUACACAUGCAAGUCGAACGGCAGCACGGGGGCAACCCUGGUGGCGAGUGGCGGACGGGUGAGUAAAGCAUCGGAACGUAUCCUGGAGUGGGGGGAUAACGUAGCGAAAGUUACGCUAAUACCGCAUAUUCUGUGAGCAGGAAAGCAGGGGAUCGCAAGACCUUGCGCUCUGGGAGCGGCCGAUGUCGGAUUAGCUAGUUGGUGGGGUAAAGGCCUACCAAGGCGACGAUCCGUAGCGGGUCUGAGAGGAUGAUCCGCCACACUGGGACUGAGACACGGCCCAGACUCCUACGGGAGGCAGCAGUGGGGAAUUUUGGGACAAUGGGCGCAAGCCUGAUCCAGCCAUGCCGCGUGAGUGAAGAA